RNAcentral lists this transfer RNA (88 nucleotides) under Metamycoplasma salivarium. Its description in RNAcentral is "tRNA-Leu". It matches the Rfam family "tRNA". From Rfam's summary of the family: Transfer RNA (tRNA) molecules are approximately 80 nucleotides in length. Their secondary structure includes four short double-helical elements and three loops (D, anti-codon, and T loops). Further hydrogen bonds mediate the characteristic L-shaped molecular structure. tRNAs have two regions of fundamental functional importance: the anti-codon, which is responsible for specific mRNA codon recognition, and the 3' end, to which the tRNAs corresponding amino acid is attached (by aminoacyl-tRNA synthetases). tRNAs cope with the degeneracy of the genetic code in two manners: having more than one tRNA (with a specific anti-codon) for a particular amino acid; and 'wobble' base-pairing, i.e. permitting non-standard base-pairing at the 3rd anti-codon position. The record is from RNAcentral. Lineage: Bacteria; Bacillati; Mycoplasmatota; Mycoplasmoidales; Metamycoplasmataceae.
GCCCGAGUGGCGGAAUAGGUAGACGCUAGGGACUUAAAAUCCCUUGACUGUAAUGGUCGUGCUGGUUCAAGUCCAGUUUCGGGCACCA